CGCUACCGUGCAGUCGAGCGGUAGGCCCUUCGGGGUAUCGAGCGGCGAACGGGUGAGUAACACGUGAGCAUCCUGCCCCUGACUCUGGGAUAAGCCCGGGAAACUGGGUCUAAUACCGGAUACGACCGCCCCCGGCAUCGGGUGGUGGUGGAAAGUUUUUUCGGUUGGGGAUGGGCUCGCGGCCUAUCAGCUUGUUGGUGGGGUAGUGGCCUACCAAGGCGACGACGGGAAGCCGGCCUGAAAGGGCCACCGGCCACACUGGGACUGACACACGCCCAAUCUAUAUACGGGAGGCAGCAGUGGGGAAUAUUGCGCAAUGGGCGGAAGCCUGACGCAGCGACGCCGCGUGGGGGAUGACGGCCUUCGGGUUGUAAACCUCUUUCAGCAGGGACGAAGUUGACGUGUACCUGCAGAAGAAGCGCCGGCUAACUACGUGCCAGCAGCCGCGGUAAUACGUAGGGCGCAAGCGUUGUCCGGAAUUAUUGGGCGUAAAGAGCUCGUAGGUGGCUGGUCGCGUCUGCCGUGAAAGCCCGCAGCUUAACUGCGGGUCUGCGGUGGAUACGGGCCGGCUAGAGGUAGGUAGGGGCAAGUGGAAUUCCUGGUGUAGCGGUGAAAUGCGCAGAUAUCAGGAGGAACACCGGUGGCGAAGGCGGCUUGCUGGGCCUUACCUGACGCUGAGGAGCGAAAGCGUGGGGAGCGAACAGGAUUAGAUACCCUGGUAGUCCACGCUGUAAACGUUGGGCGCUAGGUGUGGGACCCUUCCACGGCUUCCGUGCCGGAGCUAACGCAUUAAGCGCCCCGCCUGGGGAGUACGGCCGCAAGGCUAAAACUCAAAGGAAUUGACGGGGGCCCGCACAAGCGGCGGAGCAUGUUGCUUAAUUCGACGCAACGCGAAGACCUUACCAAGGUUUGACAUCACCCGGAAAGCUCUGGAGACAGAGCCUCUUCGGACUGGGUGACAGGUGGUGCAUGCUGUCGUCAGCUCGUGUCGU
This 992-nucleotide ribosomal RNA is filed under the name Nonomuraea sp. ZL-2010. RNAcentral describes it as "bacterial SSU rRNA". It matches the Rfam family "Bacterial small subunit ribosomal RNA", at positions 45 to 1068 of the family's 1533-position model. Lineage: Bacteria; Bacillati; Actinomycetota; Actinomycetes; Streptosporangiales; Streptosporangiaceae. The record is from RNAcentral.